UCCGCGUUCGAAGGAUCGCAUUCAAAGCUCACGCACAGCAGAAGUCUCUCCAGAUAUCUGCAGACCAACUGCCCACCUCAAAAUGGGCGAAGCUUUGGGAGAAAGUCCCCGGACCACCCUACCUCUCUUCCUUUUUGGAGAGAGAACGUCAGGACCUGCCGAGAGGCAACCGCCAUCAAAGCAACCUUUCACUGCGGUUUUUUUUCUCGCCUCCCACUCUUCUCCGAGUCUACCCCCGCUCCUCGAACUUCGACCUCACUGUCGUCUGCAUUCUCUGCCGAACUCCCCUAUUGUCCGCGUGUCUCGAUGUGGAGGGAGCUUGGGGGAAAGAUUGUUUGUCUGGCAGAUGGAUGAAGAUAUGAGUCCGUCGCCGUGAGGGCAACUGUCUUUCCCCUUUUCUGAAGCGGAGAGGCCUUGGACUUUCGGGGUUUGUUUCACGCAGGGAAGAGAUAGUGAGGGUUCCAUGACAUUGGAAGAUCGACGGGUGUGGGAGACUUGGGGAGUUCAAAGGAGUGAUUUUUGGAGGUUGCGCAAUUCGUCAUAUGUCGAAAGUUAUGCGAUUGCUCUUCCCACCCCCAUAUCGUCGCGUUUGAGGCGGUGUUGGGCUAUGGGGGAGUAACUCGAUGGGGCUUAUUCUUGAGGCGCAG
Molecule: RNase MRP RNA, 647 nt
Filed under: Fonsecaea erecta
Lineage: Eukaryota; Fungi; Ascomycota; Eurotiomycetes; Chaetothyriales; Herpotrichiellaceae
Description: RNase MRP
Rfam family: RNase MRP
About the family: RNase MRP is an enzymatically active ribonucleoprotein with two distinct roles in eukaryotes. In mitochondria it plays a direct role in the initiation of mitochondrial DNA replication. In the nucleus it is involved in precursor rRNA processing, where it cleaves the internal transcribed spacer 1 between 18S and 5.8S rRNAs.
Source: Rfam by way of RNAcentral